AGGAAGUGGGGAUGACGUCAAAUCAGCACGGCCCUUACAUCCAGGGCUACACACGUGUUACAAUGGCCGGUACAAAGGGCAGCUACUCCGCGAGGAGAAUGCGAAUCUUAAAAACCGGUCUCAGUUCGGAUCGAAGUCUGCAACCCGACUUCGUGAAGCUGGAUUCGCUAGUAAUCGUAUAUCAGCCAUGAUACGGUGAAUACGUUCCCGGGCCUU
This 216-nucleotide ribosomal RNA is filed under the name uncultured Alkaliflexus sp. RNAcentral's name for it is "partial 16S ribosomal RNA". It matches the Rfam family "Bacterial small subunit ribosomal RNA", at positions 1168 to 1382 of the family's 1533-position model. The record is from RNAcentral. Lineage: Bacteria; Pseudomonadati; Bacteroidota; Bacteroidia; Marinilabiliales; Marinilabiliaceae.